AUGUAUCCCGUACACGCCGGUUCCGCCGCCGCCCGCAGCCACCUGACGACUGCUCGCCACGUGUUGUUAGCA
Molecule: small RNA, 72 nt
Filed under: Xanthomonas campestris pv. incanae
Lineage: Bacteria; Pseudomonadati; Pseudomonadota; Gammaproteobacteria; Lysobacterales; Lysobacteraceae
Description: sX9 sRNA
Rfam family: Xanthomonas sRNA sX9
Source: RNAcentral